RNAcentral lists this ribosomal RNA (420 nucleotides) under uncultured bacterium. Its description in RNAcentral is "bacterial SSU rRNA". It matches the Rfam family "Bacterial small subunit ribosomal RNA", at positions 356 to 773 of the family's 1533-position model. The record is from RNAcentral.
GAGGAAUAUUGGUCAAUGGGCGAGAGCCUGAACCAGCCAAGUCGCGUGAAGGAAGAAGGUUCUAUGGAUUGUAAACUUCUUUUGUAAGGGAAUAAAAAAGAGUACGUGUACUCUAUUGUAUGUACUUUACGAAUAAGGAUCGGCUAACUCCGUGCCAGCAGCCGCGGUAAUACGGAGGAUCCGAGCGUUAUCCGGAUUUAUUGGGUUUAAAGGGUGCGUAGGCGGACUUAUAAGUCAGCGGUGAAAGUUUGCAGCUUAACUGUAAAAUUGCCGUUGAAACUGUUAGUCUUGAGUGUAAAUGAGGUAGGCGGAAUGUGUUGUGUAGCGGUGAAAUGCUUAGAUAUAACACAGAACACCAAUUGCGAAGGCAGCUUACUGGGAUACAACUGACGCUGAGGCACGAAAGCGUGGGGAUCAAAC